GACGAACGCUGGCGGCGUGCUUAACACAUGCAAGUCGAACGGAAAGGCCCUGCUUUUGUGGGGUGCUCGAGUGGCGAACGGGUGAGUAACACGUGAGUAACCUGCCCUUGACUUUGGGAUAACUUCAGGAAACUGGGGCUAAUACCGGAUAGGAGCUCCUGCUGCAUGGUGGGGGUUGGAAAGUUUCGGCGGUUGGGGAUGGACUCGCGGCUUAUCAGCUUGUUGGUGGGGUAGUGGCUUACCAAGGCUUUGACGGGUAGCCGGCCUGAGAGGGUGACCGGCCACAUUGGGACUGAGAUACGGACCAGACGCCUACGGGAGGCAGCAGGGGGGAAUAUUGCACAAUGGGCGGGAGCCUGAUGCAGCAACGCCGCGUGCGGGAUGACGGCCUUCGGGUUGUAAACCGCUUUCGACUGUGACGAAGCGUGAGUGACGGUAAUGGGUAAAGAAGCACCGGCUAACUACGUG
Molecule: ribosomal RNA, 468 nt
Filed under: uncultured bacterium
Lineage: Bacteria
Description: partial 16S ribosomal RNA
Rfam family: Bacterial small subunit ribosomal RNA
Source: RNAcentral